AAGUAUGAAGCAAUAGAUUGCAUCUAGUUUCGACCUAGGCUUUAGGUUAUUAAUUACCCUUACUUA
This 66-nucleotide transfer RNA is filed under the name Peploptera acromialis. Its description in RNAcentral is "tRNA-Arg". Lineage: Eukaryota; Metazoa; Arthropoda; Insecta; Coleoptera; Chrysomelidae. The record is from RNAcentral.